GCACACGCAGACUUUAUAUUAGGCAACCUAGUAGUCCUUGUAAUGUCGCUUUGCAUUCAGAACAUUUUUUUAAAUUAAAGGAAAAAUGAAAUGUCUCCUUAAGUGGAAGAGAAGGACUUCAAAUUGGGACUUUGGGAGUUGAGCACAAAACAUCAAACUGGCUAUUGCAACAAAUCUUUUCCAGUUGGUGAAUAAGAAUAGGCUGCGAACCUCAGAGCUUAAACAUAAAAGGCAGCAGGAGAACUUGUGUUUCUUUCAGCGCUGAACUGAAACGGAAACAUUUAUCUUGCUGCACCCAUCCUUACAGUAAUUAAAGUUGACUAGG
Molecule: long non-coding RNA, 325 nt
Filed under: Bos taurus (domestic cattle)
Lineage: Eukaryota; Metazoa; Chordata; Mammalia; Artiodactyla; Bovidae
Description: long non-coding RNA NONBTAT025381
Source: RNAcentral